GAUCUAAGUUCUGAUGAGACUAGUGAUUUGUGGGUAACUGCAAAAGAAGUUGGUGCAAAGCUCGAGCAGUACCACAAAGCUUCUUCCAUCACAUUCGCGAUUCAGGAUGGUCCUCAGGCUGGCCAAACAGUUGCCCAUGUCCACAUCCACGUCAUCCCCAGGAAGAAAGGAGAUUUUGAGAAAAACGAUGAAAUAUAUGAUGCGAUUGACGUGAAAGAGAAGGAAAUGAAGGAGAAGCUUGACCUGGACGUCGAAAGAAAAGAUAGAAGCAUGGAAGAAAUGGCUCAUGAGGCCACCGAGUACCGCGCUCUUUUCUCCUAG
This 321-nucleotide ribosomal RNA is filed under the name Triticum aestivum (bread wheat). Its description in RNAcentral is "partial small subunit ribosomal RNA". The record is from RNAcentral. Lineage: Eukaryota; Viridiplantae; Streptophyta; Magnoliopsida; Poales; Poaceae.